CCACCCCCCACACACACACACCCACUAACCACCCCCCACCCCUUAACAGCCAUGCACUGCAUUAAACCUUUGCAAACACACACACACACACACACACACACACACACACAUACUCACACAUACUCAUAUACACAAACACACACAAACAUACAAAUAUACUCACACACACACACACACACAAGCUCACAGCUUCAUUUGUUAGAGGCAUCAGUGGUUUUCAAAGCAAAACUGAUGUUGAGUCACUGUGAGGUACCUAUAGUGUGUCACUGUGAGGUAACUAUAGUGUGUUGAUGUGAGGUACCUGUAGUGUGUUGUUGUGAGGUACCUGUAGUGUGUUGAUGUGAGGUACCUGUAGUGUGUUGAUGUGAGGUACCUGUAGUGUGUUGAUGUGAGGUACCUGUAGUGUGUUGAUGUGAGGUAACUAGAGUGUGUUGAUGUGAGGUACCUGUAGUGUGUUGUUGUGAGGUACCUGUAGUGUGUUGUUGUGAGGUACCUGUAGUGUGUUGCUGUGAGGUAACUAUAGUGUGUUGCUGUGAGGUACCUAUAGUGUGUUGCUGUGAGGUACCUGUAGUGUGUUGUUGUGAGGUACCUGUAGUGUGUUGUUGAUGUGAGGUAACUAAAGUGUGUGUGUGACCUCUGAGGCAUCCUGUAGUUUCCAGUGGCGGUUGUUAAAAAUAUUUCUGGAGCCUUGAGCAUUGACACCUGUUCCCCCUUUCGCCCCCCCCCCCCCCCCCCCCCCCUCUCUACAUAUGCUCACUCCAGAUUUAGGAGCAGCAGGAUCACGGAUUUCAAGAAAGGAUUUUGAAAGUGUCUGACGGUGAAACAACAUGUACAUAUUCCUAUAUGGAUCAAGCAGAAGGCAUGUGUGUGUGUGUGUCUGUGUGUGAGCGUCUGGUGAUCAGGAACAUCAGGAAAUCUUGCAGCCCUUUUUUUCAGGGAUAACGAAAAGCGCGCUAAAGGAGCCUAUAUCCCUCUCCAAAAUGCCUUGACUCAUAGGUAGUAGCCUCCUGUCCCACACACACAGACGGUGGACACAAAGGAACAGCACCCUAUUCGAUUUCUAUUUGUCUAUUUGCUUCUGUUUAUUUGGCCUCCAUUGCUGUGUCCUCCAGCUCAUAACUCAGGACUCUUUUGUCCUCUCGCUGCUCCUGGGAUUAUUAUUUGAAAGCUUGGGGGGGGGGGAAGGGGGGGCGGGCAAAGUCAACUUGUGAAUGUUUGUUAAUGUAAUUAUUAAAGGUUUUAACCCUAGUGUAUCUUUAUUUUUGUUUGUUUAUUAUGUUUGGCUUGGAAAGAGAACUAUAGAAUAAGUUAUCAACUUGAUUAAAUUCAAUGCUGGCUGGAAGGCCGGGUAAGAAGUGCUCAAGUUUUUUGUGUCCCUGUCAUUUCUGUGAUGCCCCUGUGUGUGUGUGUGUGUGUGUGUGUGUGUGUGUGUGUGUGUGUGUGUGUGUGUGUGUGUGUGUGUGUGUGUGUGUGUGUGUGUGUGUGUGUGUGCGUGUGUGUUAGUGCGUCAUUAAGGAGACGUUAGAGACGCUAUUAAAGGCAGGGUGUAAGGGAGGUCACACACACUCCGAAAUUCCUGCGCCCUGGCCCACGGACACACACACCGAGGCAACGCACUCGGCCAGUAGAAUGCUGGGAACUCUUUGUCGCCAUGCUCUCGUGUCACGAGCACGCCUUCCAGGAGAGCCAGGCAUAGUGACACAUGCUCGUCAUGACGACAGAUAUGGAGAGGCAUUACUCGCACUCACACCAAAC
Long non-coding RNA from Clupea harengus (Atlantic herring), 1755 nucleotides. The record is from Ensembl. Lineage: Eukaryota; Metazoa; Chordata; Actinopteri; Clupeiformes; Clupeidae.